Molecule: ribosomal RNA, 483 nt
Filed under: uncultured bacterium
Lineage: Bacteria
Description: SSU rRNA
Rfam family: Bacterial small subunit ribosomal RNA
Source: RNAcentral
AGGACGAACGCUUGCGGCGUGCCUAAGAAAUGCAAGUCGAGCGGGGGUAGCAAUACCCUAGCGGCGAACGGUCGCGUAACACGUAAGCAACCUGCCCCGAAGACCGGGACAACAUCUCGAAAUGGGUGCUAAUACCCGGUAUUCACUUCUUCACGCAUGUGGGGUUGUGGAAAGGUUUUUCUGGUGGGGGAUGUGCUCGCGGCCUAUCAGCUUGUUGGUGGGGUAAUGGCUUACCAAGGCUUUGACGGGUAGCCGGCCUGAGAGGGUGACCGGCCACACUGGGACUGAGACACGGCCCAGACUCCUACGGGAGGCAGCAGUGGGGAAUAUUGGACAAUGGGCGGAAGCCUGAUCCAGCAACGCCGCGUGAGGGAUGACGGCCUUCGGGUUGUAAACCUCUUCACCAUUGACGAAGUCGCAUUCUUUUGGGUGUGGUGACGGUAGGUGGGAAGAAGCACCGGCCAACUACGUGCCAGCAGCCGC